Molecule: long non-coding RNA, 7754 nt
Filed under: Capsicum annuum
Lineage: Eukaryota; Viridiplantae; Streptophyta; Magnoliopsida; Solanales; Solanaceae
Description: long non-coding RNA (CANN_LNC004037)
Source: RNAcentral
CCCCCCGCCCCGUCCUAUUUGCUCCAAUUUCUUGCCUGCUGAAUUUUUAGAAGUGUUACUGCUCCCACUAAUUUUAUUUAGACGUUACAUAAUACAAUUUCAGGUCAUCGAGAAUAUGUAGGAAGGACGCAGAUUAGAAUAGAAUGAUAAUUGGGUAGAGUGUUGUGUGUUGCUUUUUCAGGUUUUAACCUUAUUGGUGUUUGUUGUGCACUAGCCAUAGCAUGAUAGUUUAGGGUUUAGCCAUAAAUAUGGAGGUGGAGCUGAUCCCUACUUCUGAUAUUGUUUAUUGUGUUAUUGCACUAUUUUGUGAUUGAUUAUUGUCUCUUGCUUUAAGAGUUUGCGCUGUUACCUUAUUAGUUGCUGCAUUUUCUUCACUGUUUUCUUCUUGUUUGUACCUGGAUUUGUAUACUUGAGCCGACUGUCUUUUGGAAACUGUCUCUCUACCUCUCCAAGAUAGCGGUAAGAUCUGCGUAUACUCUACACUCCCCAGUCCUCACUUGUUGGAUUUCACUAGGCAUGUUGUUGUUGUAGUAAUGUGCACCAAAAGGAAGCUAAGUCUUAAUUUUGCAGAGAAAUCUCUCCAUUUUAAAGCCAUUCUGAGUGAUACUGCUUCUAAUCUUUGUCUGAUGGCUAGAAAUACUGUUAAAAGACUUUUUUGUUUUUAUAUAUCAAGUAAUGUAAAGAAUUCUGUAUUACUACUUUUUUUUUUUGUUAAAAAAAAAGGGUGAAGAUUGUUAUUCUGUAAUUAAUAGAAAGAAUAACAGUUUACUCUCUUUUGCUGGCUAGAUGACUUUAUACUUCACUAUAGGUAAGUUUUCAGUUUCGUCGACUUUGGUUGAACAUGAUAAUUUUACACCCAAAUCAAUACUAUAGGUAAGUUUUCAGUUUCGUCGACUUUGGUUGAACAUGAUAAUUUUACACCCAAAUCAAUUAGAAAAAUUAAGUUCAGCAAUUUCUUCUUAUUAGUUUCUGGUGGAAGGCACGUUUAUCUGCCCUUUUUGUUUUAGCUCUCAUUUGUUUUGGUUAUGUGAAGUACCUCCUAUGUAUUUUAAUGUAGUUAUGCUCAUCUGGAUACAACUCAGUUCCUAUUCCCUUGCUUGCAGAUGAUACAUUAGAGAUAUCAAGCCGAGGGUCUGUAGAAACAGCCUCUCUACCCUACAAAUGUAGGAGUAAGGUAUGCAUACAUCCUACCCUUCCCAAACCCCAGGAUUAAUAAUACUGUGUAUGUUGUUGUACAUUAGAGACAUCAAGCAAUGAUGGAGUGAAAAAUCUAGUUCAUGUUCCUUGUUGUUCAACUCUAGGAGAAUAUCUAAAGAGUAAGAAACGGUUAUUGAUUGUAUCUACCACGGUAUUAGUAUUCAUUGGUAUCUAUAAAAUUCUGUUGUUAUGAGUGUUAUCUUUUUAAACUGCAGCAGAGGAAAAAUUUUGAUGUUCUAAUUAUGAUCAAUUGUCUUGGACAAAGAAUAUACAAGUAUGAUUAUUGUGCAGAAAUGCAAAAUGUAAUUUCACAUUGCAAAAAUAUCUUACAAUUGCUCUAUUUCACCCUUUCAACGAUAUUCACGGAGUAUAUGGAAUCAGUUAGAAAGUAUAUAUAACCAAGCAGAGUACUGCUUGAAAUCUCGCACCUACUGCUUCAGUUACGUAACUCGGUUUAUCUAUUAAUAUAGUAUAUACAAACUCCUUCUGUCAAAGCACAUAGUUAUCAUCUCUAAAUAAGUAUUGGUGGCGAGGAUUUCGGAUCCUGAAGGGAGAUUACAGUUUCAAAAGCACCCACCAAAGCCUUGACCUUGCUUCUCCGGGUCUCCUCAAGCUUGGUUGCAGUCUCUUCGAUCACAUUGUUGAACAAGAUUGGAGCCUCUUUUUUGUCUCCUCUAGAUUGGUGCCGAAGAUUAACUUUCAUAGUUUCAUCUUUUGCAGAAUUUGACUUUCCAUAAGCAAUAAGUCUCCGAGAGCUUCUUCCUCUAACAUGAGAAAUUUCAUUUCCGUUGUUCUCUAGUGUUUUGGCGGGCCUGAAUUUUAGUCUCCUUGGACUGAGUUUCUCAGACUGAAAAUCAAUUAUUUUUCCUCUCCUGAACUUGAGAUUUUUAGGACUGCCAUUGCAGCCCUUCCAGCUUUUAUAUAUUAGUUUGGAGUUGCUGUUCCACUUUUCUUGGAACUGCUGACUAUUGCAUCACCAUUAGCAGACUCGCAUGCAGAAGUUGAUGAUAGGGAGGAUUUCCUGUUGCCAAUGUUUCUGGAGCUACUGCCAUCAGAAUAUAGAGAAGAUGAUGGGGAGAGAAUAGGUGAUGAUCUCUUUCCUCUUAUUGGGCCAUGCCUAUCUAAGGACGAGACUCUGAGCUUCUGAUUUCCCGGAGCGAUCUGUAUGGUGUGGCUUUUAGUCUUUGAUUCUCUGAUGUACAAUUUUCUAAGUUGAGAUGCCUUGUUUGGAAAUUUUUCAUGACUUGGUUGCACUUUUUCCGUUCAUGCAAGGCUAGUCAAAUUAUUAAUUAGAGAUCCCUUGUUUGGAUCAGCUUCAUGAAUCACUUUGCCUGUUUUGCUAGGAAGACUAAACUGCUUAUUGCAUUGAGAUACCAUUCUCAUGGAAUUGUUAGUUAACUUUUCGCCUGAUGCCCUCUUCACAGAAGUUCUUGCAGAGUUGGAAAUACUUAUGGCAUCCAUUUUCUUGCUCAACCCGGAGGAUCCCCUUUUGACAGAUAUUUUGGUGGAUUCUCGGAUUUUCUGUGCCUGGGCUCGAAAAGUUGUUGGGCUGGGUUUCUUCCCUUUAUGCAUCUUCACAGUUGUAGCCAUUUCUCGAAUUUCUCCUGAUGGUGUUACACGUUUUGUCGGUUGAAGGGGCCUUUGUCGAAGUUGAAGUUGAAGUUGGAGUUGAAAAUUGUGUUUGGCCAUGACGUAAAUUGAAGUUGUUUUUGAAAUUUUGUAAGAGAAAUAAGAGUAAAAAAAGUGAAAACUUUUCCAAAUAAUUUUCACUAAAGUGAAAUAAUUCUUAUGGUCAAACACUACUAUUUUCACUUUUUUCAUUAAAGCGAAAUAAUAUUCCAAAAAAAGUGAAAAAUUCUUAUGGCCAAACGCCUACUAAGAACAAUCAAUUACUCUGAAGGUUCUCAGUACUUCGCACACAGCUGCCAGGAUGCUCUACUACCUUGAAUAAAACCUUGUUCUCGUAUGCAAUAUAUGGCGGAUUAUUUGACAUAGAUCUUCCUUAUAUAGUGUAGCCAGGGGCGGAGCUACACUUGGCCGAGGGGAUUCAUCCGAACCUCCUUCGGCAAAAAUUUUUACUAUUUAUACAUAGUCAAAAUUAUUUUUCGUAUAUAUACAGUAGAGGUUAAACCCCCUUCGAUUAGUUCUUAUGUUUACUUUUGAAACCCUUAACGAAAAUCCUGGCUCCGCCACUGAGUGUAGCUAAUUGUGGGAUGUUGCUCCACAACCUUAGUUAUACAGAUAAGGUCAUACAUUCCUUGAUUGAUAAAACUACUAAAGUCCUAAUGCAAUUUAGUUUCCUCUCAUAGUGAUAUGUUUUGAUUUGUUUCCUUUUUUACACUUGACACUUCACGUGACAAUCACACGUGUGCAAGGUUAGGAGCUAAGUUUACUUUGUCUAUAAUCAAAAUCAAAAUCAAAAUCACAAUCAAGAGUAAACACACUUAAUCAUACACAAGUUGCUACACUUAUCUAUUUCCCCUUUUUUAAUGAUGACAAACUCGUGUGUGCGUGAAAUAAACUAAAAGUCAAAUGAAUUCAUAACGCAUUAAUAAGUGAGUACUGAAUGAGAUCAACAAAUCAUAAUUCACCACCACAACAACAAACUUCAUCAUAACUUCAACAAUAUCAUGCUUUCCUUUUUUAGCAUCAUAAAAAAUAGGUAAUCAAGGAUAUAACAAAGACAUAAUUAAAGUGCAAUGAUAAAUGUUCAUGACCACUGAGGCAACACUAAUGCAUACUUAACAGGAAAUAAUCUAUAGAUACUGAGGAUAUCAGCCAUCUCACAAUGGAACUAAAACAAUCAACAUAAGAAGGAGCAAUAAGAAUUCAAAGCAUGCACGAGUUUAAGCCAAAUUGGCCCUAAAUAAAAAAAAAAGAGUUAAGCAGUCACAAAAACCAACAAUAAUUGUUUGUGACAUCAAUCAGAUCCAAAAUAAGAAGAGAGAGUGACAAGGGCCAUAAAGAGCUAAGGGGAGGAUGGAGGAGGGUGGGACUUGGGAAUAGCUAGGAUGGGGGAGGGUGGGACUUGGGAAUAAGCUGCAUUAUGGCAUCAAAUCUAGCAAAAUGGGCAUUUUGUUGUGUGAGCAUAUCAUCCUUUAGUUGAAGCAUCAUGGCAUCAAAUCCAGCAAGAUGAGCAUUUUGUUGCAUGAGCAUAUCAUUCUUUAGUUGAACCACCUCCUUUAGCUGAACCACCUCAGCUUGAGAAGUUGCUAGCUGAUUUUGCAGCCUGGUUGUCUCAUCCUUGAGCCUAGCAUUUUCGUCCUGGGCAGCUUCCAAGUCAAACAUGAGUUGAGUGAUUAGAUUUGUGGUCAAACAGUUACACUCUAUCAGGGUCUCUAUAUUAAUCAUGUCACCCUCUGUGGCUACCUUUCUAUUUCUUAACUUAACCCCAAAGCUCUCAAACACUGUAGUCAGUAAAAAUCCAUAGGCCAAGUCAUGAGGACCAAUCUCAGGAGAGGUAAUUCUUUUCAUGUGUUUGAUCAUGAGGGCUGGCAAAUUGACCCUCCAAUUCAUCUCAAUUGCAUGCAUGAUCCCAAUAUCCCUUAAGGAUACAUCCUGCCUCCUCUCAUCUCUUGGAACCACUACAUUUUUCACAAUUUCAAAUAACAAUUUAUGAAAAGGUUGUAGUUUACUCUUUGAAACAUUCCUAUGAUUUUUCUUUACUCUCUCCCCAGAGAAUUUCUUGGGGAGGGUGCAAUCCUCAUCAUUCUUCCAUGUGUAAUUCUCUAGUCCUUCUGCAGGGAUCUGCAGAAUUUCUCCUAAUUUAGCAGAAUCGAACACAAUCUCUACUCCCCCAACUGAAGAAUAAAUGAUUGAUUCACAAAUAAUUUUCAAAUUGACAUAGAAUUCAACAACCUCCUCCUCAUAAACAGCUAUCGUAAGAUCCCUGAACAAAUGGGCCCAUCCUUGAAAGUUAAGCCUAUCUAACAACUUUUGAACAAUGGGAUUGCUCAUAACUUUAGGGUCAAAGACCCUUCCCCUCAGCACAGACUUUGAACCAUAGUAAUCAUCUUUACCCAUAGCAAGAAACUUUUCAAGGUUUCGGUUAAAACGUCUUACCUUUGGAUGAGUAGGAACAUACUUCUCCUGCUCAGAGUCGUCCUCAAUCUCAGCGGGCACUUCAGAUUCCUCAAUCAUAUAUUCCCCUUUAGUCUCUGAGGAUCUCGCCCUUUUGCUUGACUCGGCAGCUACCUUGAGUUCUGUUGUGCGCUUGCGGGUUUGAUGAAUACGAACUGGAGAUGUGGGGGUGACAGAGUUCUUAGGUUUAUGGGUGGCUUUGGGCUUGUGGAUAAUGGCAAAGGAAAGAUCAUCCUCAUUGUUGGGCGAGUUAUACGCUGGUGAAAAAAAGGUUGAUUGGGGAGGGUUCUCAGUCUCUGCAGUUGCCUCCUCCUCUGAGCUCCAACUAUAAUUCAAGGAAUCGGAGGGUUUUGGCGAGGACGAAUUUGGAGAUGAGGGUUUUGUAGAGAAGGAUUUUGGUGGUGAAAAGGUCUUUGGAGAGGAUGGUGAUCUUUCAUGGGCAAAGGGAAGAGUAGGUGAUGGGGAGCGGGAUCCGUUCAAAAAUUCUCCAUGAGAAUGUGCCGCCAUUGAUCGAUUCAAAACUUUCUAUCUAAACUAUAUGCAAAUUUUCUUCUUUAUCUUUAUAAGACAAAGUGCAUUUGACUUCCUAAUUCUGCUAUCAAAAUUUGAAAUUUAUAGUGUUGGAAUUCUUCCUUUUCUAUGUGAGUAAAAGGUUUUUCUAACCAAAAUAUAUCUUUUCCAAUGAUCAAGGGCGGCGGCUCUACCCUUUUAUUAAAAAAAAAAAAAAGUGAUUUCUUGGGCCCCCGAACUUGAGGGCCUCAUCCCCCCAACCUCUUUUUUUUUUUUAGCAAUAAUAAAUUAUCAAAAUACAAACUAUUGUAAAUUUAUAUAAUCUAUAAAAGAAAAGUAAAUUUAAUUCAAAAUACAAUAAAUUAUCUCCCUCCGUCCCAAAUUACCCGUCACAAAUUGAGAUGGCACAUUGAUUAAGAAAAAUAAUUAAUAACAUGCCUAGUUUACCAUAAUACCUCUAUUAAAUGAUGUUUACAUUUUAAUUUGAAGAAAAAAUAAGUAAUGCAAAGGGUUAACAUGGAAAAUUUUUUUUGUUUCUUCUUGAUGAAUGAAAAAAAACAAGUAAAAUGGGAAAUCAAAUUAGAAAAUUUGGGACGGAGGGAGUACUUUCUAAAGAGAGAGGUACAUGAAUUAAUUCUUUAAAGUGAGUCUAAUCCAAGGUUCAAUGAAAUCAUAAGCCCAUUCACUGAUUCACAUUAAAAAACAGUCAAAAACAAUUUAACAUUUAUUACAAUAAAGUCACUCAAUUAUUGAAAAAAUAUCAAAAGAUCAAAGACACCAUUAAAGUUUCUUUCCUCCACUGAACUCAUGAUUUGAUUUUCCAAAAAAAUAAAAAAUAUAAACAGUAGAGUAUAAUUAAGCAACAAAUUAAUUAAUCAAAAGAGGAAAAUUGCCCCCUCCUAUUUGCUCCAAUUUCUUGCCUGCUGAAUUUUUAGAAGUGUUACUGCUCCCACUAAUUUUAUUUAGAUAGGACAUGAUACAAUUUCAGGUCAUCGAGGAUAUGUAUGAAGGACGCGUAUUAGAAUAGAGUGAUAAUUGGGUGGAGUGUUGUGUGUCGCUUUUUGAGGUUUUAAGCUUAUUGGUGUUUGUUGUGCACUAGUCAUAGUAUGAUAGUUUAAGGUUUUGUCAUAAAUAUGGAGGUGGAGCUGAUCCCUACUUCUGAUAUCUAUGUAUUGUUUAUUGUGUUACGAUUAUUACAUUAUUUUGUGAUUGAUUAUUGUUUCUUUCUUUUAGACUUUGCACUGUUCUCUUAUUAGUUGCUGCAUUUUCUUCAUUAUUUCCUUCUUGUUUGUACCUGGAUUUGUAUACUUGAGCCAACUGUCUUUUGGAAACUGUCUCUCUACCUCUCUGAGGUAGUGGUAAGGUCUGCGCAUACUCUACCCUCCCUAAUCCUCACUUGUGGGAGUUCACUAGGCAUCUUCUUGUUGUAAAAAUGCACACCCAAAGGAAGCUAAGUCUUGAUUUUGUAGAGAAAUCUCUCCAUUUUAAAGCAAUUCUGAGUGACACUGCUUCUAAUGUUUAUUAGCUUUGUAGAUUUAGGAGCCCUUCUUUGUCUGAUGGCUAGAAAUAAUGUUGUAAGACUUUUGUGUUUUCAUAUAUAUCAAGUAAUGUAAAGACUUCUUUAUGAUUUCUUUUUUCUUCAAAAAAUAACAAUAAUAAGGGUGAAGAUUGUUUUUCUGUAAUUAAUAGAAAUAAAAACAGUUUACUCUCUUUUGCUGGCUAGAUGACUUUAUACUUUACUAUAGGUAAGUUUUCAGCUUCGUCGACUUUGAUUGAACGUGAUAAUUUUGCACCCAAAUCUAUCCGAAUAAAUAAGUUCAGCAAUUGCUUCUUAUUAGUUUCUGGAGGAAAAGCAUGUUUCUCUGCCCUUUUUGUUUUAGCUCUCAUUUGUUUUGGUUAUGUGAAGCACCUCCUAUGUAUUUUAAUAUAGUUAUGCUCAUCUGGAUACAACUCAGUUACUAUUCCCU